UACGUAGGGUGCAAGCGUUAAUCGGAAUUACUGGGCGUAAAGCGUGCGCAGGCGGUUUUGUAAGUUUGUCGUGAAAUCCCCGGGCUCAACCUGGGAAUGGCGAUGAAGACUGCAAGGCUAGAAUCUGGCAGAGGGGGGUAGAAUUCCACGUGUAGCAGUGAAAUGCGUAGAGAUGUGGAGGAACACCGAUGGCGAAGGCAGCCCCCUGGGUCGAAGAUUGACGCUCAUGCA
This 231-nucleotide ribosomal RNA is filed under the name uncultured bacterium. RNAcentral describes it as "partial 16S ribosomal RNA". It matches the Rfam family "Bacterial small subunit ribosomal RNA", at positions 524 to 753 of the family's 1533-position model. The record is from RNAcentral.